This 442-nucleotide ribosomal RNA is filed under the name uncultured bacterium. RNAcentral describes it as "partial 16S ribosomal RNA". It matches the Rfam family "Bacterial small subunit ribosomal RNA", at positions 338 to 795 of the family's 1533-position model. The record is from RNAcentral.
CCUACGGGAGGCAGCAGUAGGGAAUCUUUCACAAUGGGCGAAAGCCUGAUGGAGCAACGCCGCGUGCAGGAUGAAGGCCUUCGGGUUGUAAACUGCUUUUAUAAGCGAGAAAUAUGAUGGUAACUUAUGAAUAAGGAUCGGCUAACUACGAGCCAGCAGCCGCGGUCAUACGUAGGAUCCGAGCAUUAUCCGGAGUGACUGGGUGUAAAGAGUUGCGUAGGUGGCAUAAUAAGUAGCUAGUGAAAUCUGGUGGCUCAACCAUUCAGACUAUUAGCUAAACUGUUAAGCUCGAGACCGUUAGGGGUAACUGGAAUUUCUAGUGUAGGAGUGAAAUGCGUAGAUAUUAGAAGGAACACCAAUAGCGUAGGCAGGUUACUGGGACGGUUCUGACACUAAGGCACGAAAGCGUAGGGAGCAAACGGGAUUAGAUACCCCAGUAGUC